This 317-nucleotide ribosomal RNA is filed under the name uncultured eukaryote. RNAcentral's name for it is "partial 18S ribosomal RNA". It matches the Rfam family "Eukaryotic small subunit ribosomal RNA", at positions 1470 to 1796 of the family's 1831-position model. The record is from RNAcentral.
CCCUUAGAUGUCCGGGGCUGCACGCGCGCUACACUGAAUGAAUCAGCGUGCUAGAAAACCUUGUUUGACAUGGCUAGGUAACCCAUUGAAAAUCAUUCGUGAUUGGGAUCGGGACUUGCAAAUGUGUCCCUUGAACGAGGAAUUCCCAGUAAGUGCGGGUCAUCAGCUCGCGUUGAUUACGUCCCUGCCCUUUGUACACACCGCCCGUCGCACCUACCGAUUGAAUGGUCCGGUGAAGCCUCCGGAUUGGCGCGCACCUCGGUGCCGCCGAGAAGUUGGCUAAACCUUACCAUUUAGAGGAAGGUGAAGUCGUAACA